RNAcentral lists this ribosomal RNA (427 nucleotides) under uncultured bacterium. RNAcentral describes it as "bacterial SSU rRNA". It matches the Rfam family "Bacterial small subunit ribosomal RNA", at positions 355 to 774 of the family's 1533-position model. The record is from RNAcentral.
UGAGGAAUAUUGGACAAUGGGCGCAAGCCUGAUCCAGCCAUGCCGCGUGGGUGAAGAAGGCCUUCGGGUUGUAAGGCCCUUUUGUUGGGAAAGAAAUCCUGUCGGCUAAUACCCGGCGGGGAUGACGGUACCCAAAGAAUAAGCACCGGCUAACUUCGUGCCAGCAGCCGCGGUAAUACGAAGGGUGCAAGCGUUACUCGGAAUUACUGGGCGUAAAGCGUGCGUAGGCGGUUCGUUAAGUCUGUCGUGAAAGCCCUGGGCUCAAGCUGGGAAUUGCGAUGGAUACUGGCGAGCUAGAGUACGGUAGAGGACGGUGGAAUGCCCGGUGUAGCGGUGAAAUGCGUAGAGAUCGGGAGGAACACCCGUGGCGAAGGCGGCCAUCUGGACCAGUACUGACGCUGAGGCACGAAAGCGUGGGGAGCAAACA